GUGCGUGUAGAUUGAUUAUUUAGAUUGUAAGGCUGUUAACCUUAAGGAGGUAGUAUACCCGCGGACG
Molecule: transfer RNA, 67 nt
Filed under: Echinostoma revolutum
Lineage: Eukaryota; Metazoa; Platyhelminthes; Trematoda; Plagiorchiida; Echinostomatidae
Description: tRNA-Asn
Source: RNAcentral